Molecule: long non-coding RNA, 4230 nt
Filed under: Ananas comosus (pineapple)
Lineage: Eukaryota; Viridiplantae; Streptophyta; Magnoliopsida; Poales; Bromeliaceae
Description: long non-coding RNA (ACOM_LNC001147)
Source: RNAcentral
UGAGUCGAGCGCGCGCGUGUUUAUUUUUUGUAUUUCGACAUCACGGUUAGUAUAACAAUAUUAUUAUUUCUCGUUUUAGCACUACAACAAAAACGGUCUAUAGCGACAUUUUUAAAUGUCGGAAAAAAGUGUUGCUGGCUAAAUUUACCGACACUUUUGAAAAGUGUUGCUAUAUGUGGGGUCGCUAGGUAUAUAGUGACAGUUAAAGAGUGUUGCUAUAAUCUAAAAGAGUGCAGCUAAUUUACCAACAUUUUAAGCAUCUAGCAACCGCCGGAAUUCUACCUCGUUGACUGCAGUGGCGGAGGAGGACGAGAGGAAAUGAUCUUCGUCUAGGAUUUCAGUCGAUUGAAUGAGGGGAGAAGGGAAAAUGAUAAUCGAAUUUUCUUUUCUUUUUCUUUUCUGUUUGUAAUCGGGCCGAAUGGGCUAAGUGGAGUGGGUUGAGUAGAGUACCCUUUUAAUUUUAGUUGGAUUGGACUUUAUAUUUAGGCAUUAGUACGAUUUUUUUUAAGUUUUGGCAUAAAUGUGACACUUAUACAAAAGUGUCCCAAACAUGUGUCGCUAUAACCUAAUUCUGUUGUAGUGUAGAUUCUUUUGAUAAAUUUUUUGUGGAAAUUGAGAGUUAGAAACUGAUUUUUUUUAUAUGUUUUAGGAGUUGAUUUCGUGGCUGCAUGUCGUUCAGACUAGAAGAGCUGUGGCAUAUCAUCUGAUUAUUUUGACUGUCGUACUGUUUCUUGGAUUUAUGAUAUAGAUGGAUUUUGUGUUGUCAAAAUUGGCAGACUAAUUUUUAUAUUCAUAUUAUAUUAUUUAACCUCUGAGAUAAACUGUUGAUGUAGUUGAGAUAGUAGUGAUAUUUUGAUACUUACCAGUAGAGUAAAUUAAGACAUAUAUAUCUGUUAUAUUUCUAAAGGUCAACAGACAAUUACAGAUAGUGUGAGACUAUAACUAUAUUUUGGACACUAUAACAGUAUUAUUAUGAUCUAUUUGAUCAUUGCAUUUGACCACAGCCUACAUACUAAGUUGAGUUUGACAGUGAUACUAUACUCGAUUGUGAUAGCGUCCCGCAAGUGCCACUCCGGAGGUUGGGUUAUGAGAUAUUAUUAUAGUAUGGGCGAGACAGUAGCCUGCAUGGUAGCGGACUACUAUAGGUAGGUGCUGAAUACGACCCAGCGCAGGCUAGACCUGACUGUUGAGUCGGUCACUAUGAUUGGGUCUUAUUGCAAUGUUUUAUUCAGUAACUAAUUGAUGCAUGGCGUAUAUGAAUUGUAAAUUUCAGUUAUAUUGUAGAAGUAUGAUAGUAGUAAUUAUUUUCAGCAAUUAUUCAUAUUAGUAAUUAUUUAUUUACACUUCUCAGUCAUUUACUAUUUUUACCUCUUAUGGACCUAGUGGUGUAGACCGUCAGCGUUGAUGAUCGUACACACUAGGGACUAUUGAUUAUAAUUUUCAAAUCCUCUUUAUUAAUAUUUUAUUUCAGAACCUUCAACAUUAGUGACUGAUCGAGAUAAGGGGAUUGUAGAUAGUUAGUAUCUCCUAUCCUUUUUCUUUUUGUGUGUGUAGUUGAACCACCUAUCAUAGUAGAUAGUAACUUGUACAGUACUUUGAGGUUUGAAUAGUCAGAGAUGUUAUACCAUUUUGGGGGACGGGUAUAGAGAUGAUUGUAUAUCUUUACGGUGUUGCUAUAGUAUAUAAUUUUUAUUUUCUUCUGAUACCUAUUGUUGUUAAAUUUUAGUAAAUUUUGUUGAAUAGAUUUUGUUAACGCUUUAUAUGUAUAAGGUGUAUCCUUGUGCAUGCGGCGGGUCUGUUGACGUAACCCGGGAUGCGGCGGGUCUGUUGACGUAACCCGGGAUUUCGCUGUAAUUCGAGACGUGACACCACGUAACUACUGACGCUUAUGCUAAGCGUUAGUAAAUUAUAUUCUGACGCUUUAAAACAUCAAAAUUUUUUAAAAUCCUUACGCUUUAAAGCGUCGAAAAAUUAAAAAUAAUAGUAAAGUUUAUUAUUUAAAUAAAUUAGUUUAAUACAAUAGAGGGUUCAUUUUGACGAUGCUUUUUGAAGCAUCGGUAUUCGCUAUGCUGUAGGGAUAUUUGGUGAUGCUUUCCCCAAGCAUCGUCUAAAAUGUGUCGUUAUAUUAGGAUUUUCUUGUAGUGAUCAACGUACGUGAAUAUUUGUUGACUACACCAGUGCCACAUUAGCCGACCAAACAAGGUCUCAUCUAGCUUGCGUCUUGCCUAGUGAGACGUCGAACAAUCAUAUACGAACCCACAUCAGCACUCAACAGCUAGCGUGAGGUGAACAAUCGCAUCCUCUCUUGGUUAUACCUUCAGAGGACCAAGACUUGUAGGGAGCGACCCUCACAAAAUAAAAUACUCAUUGAGCACCUAAAAAUGGUUUCAAUUUGGAUGCCUGAAAUAGAGAAUCGAGCACCUGAAAAUGGUUUCGAAGGGUCCCCCGUUGCGCUUGAAUCUUUUGAACGCUUAUCUGGAGAGCUGGAAUUUCGAGAACUGGACUAUUCGAACGCCCGCAUUGCCCUACGAGUGCCUGGAAGUUAAUUCGGACUCUAUCUUUGGGCGUCCGGAUGAUUUCCAAACUGCCAACCUAAGGGGGGAAAUCCUACACAAAAGAUUUGGAUGUCCGAUAUCCCCUGCAAGCAUUCGGAGCAACUUUCGGAUAGUCCUUGUUGGCGUCCGAUGCCACAUUUGGACGCCCAACUCGACAGCUUCCCUUGUGUGAGAAGUCGACCUUUUGGAUGCCUGAAAUACCCUGCGGGCACCCGAAUUGAAAAGCGAGCGAAGCCAGCACAUGCCUCCAACAACUUCGAGGUGUAGCUACAUAUUUUGGGGCAUUGUCACCUUCUAUCGAAUGCCAGAAAGUUGGGCCAAGUGCUCGAAAAGUUUGGGCGAGCGCCGAAAACUAGCGUACAGAUAUGGUCUCUGACUCCGUCAUCUUUAGGAUUUUGAGUUCACCUCUUAUAGUUUGUCAGCGAACUCUUUUCGCCUUCUAUUCGGCUUUGUAGGUAUUUGCAAGGAUCCCCCAGGCUUGUCAUGAGGUGGUAGCAGCCGAAACUUGUUUUGAUGAAGAGGGCCUUCUGAUCCUUCUUUUUUUGACUCUUUUAGAGCCGUGAUUUAAUUUUCUUGGAGCGCAGCUUCAUCCGGAGACUCUACAUAGAGUCUCUAGAUAGUUUCGAACAAGUUCCAUUUUGCAUCACAUCUAACUGAUUCCUUAGUUUGGAUUGAAAAUGGAGAGGAAAAAAUGAGAAGAACUUUACUUUUCUUUUGAUUGAUAAUACAGUCACACCCUAUUGCCUCUAUUUAUAAGGCUUAGACUAGCUACAUAAGGAAGAACAAUCUAAACUUAUCCAAAACCUCAAAAGAAACUUGAUUAAUAUUAAAGCUAGCUAUUUAUGAGAUAAAACAAAACCCAACAAAUAAUAAAUUUCAAAAUAAUAAAAUAUAUCCUAAUUAACAAAGAGAGAGAUAAAAUAAUUAAUUUUAUCUCUUUCCAACAAUUUGGACAUGUUACUAUAAAAAUAUUUUUUGAAUAAAAUAAUGAAAUGUUUGAGAUAAUUUUCAGGAAAAAAAAGCUAAAUAUUUUGGAUUUAUUUGAGAGAAUAAUAAAAAUGCAAAAGUUCAUUAGUGCGCACUAUUGAAACAAUUGAAAUAUACAAGGAAAACUGAACAAACGAAAAUUAUUGCUGCACCUGGCGUAUAACCUUGUCAACUCACUACAAUAAAAACGGUCUAUAGCGACACUUUUAAAUAUAGGUACAUAUCAAAAAAGUGCUGCUAGCUAAAAUUACCGAUCUUUUAAAAAGUGUUGCUAUAUGUGGGGUCGCAAGGUAUAUAGUGACAGUUAAAGAGUGUUGCUAUAACCUAAAAGAGUGCUGCUAAUUUACCAACACUUAUUUAAGCAUUUAGCAACUGCCGAAACUCUAUCUCGUUGGCUGCGGUGGCGGAGGAGGACGACAGGAAAGGCUCUUCGUCUAGAAUUUCAGUGGAUUGAGUGAAGAGAGAAGAAAAGAUGGUAAUUAAUUUUUCUUUUUUUUCUGUUUGUAAUCGGGUCCAAUGGACUGGGUGUGGUGGGUUGAGUAGAGUAAUCUUUUAUUUUUGGUUGGAUUGGGCUUUAUAUUUAGGCAUUAGUAGAUAUUUUUUUAAGUUUUAGCAUAAAUGGGACACUUACUCAAAAGUAUCCCAAACAUGUGUCCCUAUAACCUAAUUCUGUUGUAGUAACUGUGCA